This 1176-nucleotide ribosomal RNA is filed under the name Oceanobacillus picturae. RNAcentral's name for it is "bacterial SSU rRNA". It matches the Rfam family "Bacterial small subunit ribosomal RNA", at positions 54 to 1198 of the family's 1533-position model. Lineage: Bacteria; Bacillati; Bacillota; Bacilli; Caryophanales; Bacillaceae. The record is from RNAcentral.
CAUGCAAGUCGAGCGCAGGAAGCAAGUUGAUCCCCUUCGGGGGUGACGCUUGUGGAAUGAGCGGCGGACGGGUGAGUAACACGUGGGCAACCUGCCUGUAAGACUGGGAUAACCCCGGGAAACCGGGGCUAAUACCGGAUAAUACUUUCUUUUGCAUAAAGGAAAGUUGAAAGGCGGCUUCGGCUGUCACUUACAGAUGGGCCCGCGGCGCAUUAGCUAGUUGGUGAGGUAACGGCUCACCAAGGCGACGAUGCGUAGCCGACCUGAGAGGGUGAUCGGCCACACUGGGACUGAGACACGGCCCAGACUCCUACGGGAGGCAGCAGUAGGGAAUCUUCCGCAAUGGACGAAAGUCUGACGGAGCAACGCCGCGUGAGUGAUGAAGGUUUUCGGAUCGUAAAACUCUGUUGUUAGGGAAGAACAAGUUGGGUAGUAACUGACCCAACCUUGACGGUACCUAACCAGAAAGCCACGGCUAACUACGUGCCAGCAGCCGCGGUAAUACGUAGGUGGCAAGCGUUGUCCGGAAUUAUUGGGCGUAAAGCGCUCGCAGGCGGUCCUUUAAGUCUGAUGUGAAAUCUCGCGGCUCAACCGCGAACGGUCAUUGGAAACUGGAGGACUUGAGUACAGAAGAGGAGAGUGGAAUUCCACGUGUAGCGGUGAAAUGCGUAGAGAUGUGGAGGAACACCAGUGGCGAAGGCGACUCUCUGGUCUGUAACUGACGCUGAGGAGCGAAAGCGUGGGGAGCGAACAGGAUUAGAUACCCUGGUAGUCCACGCCGUAGACGAUGAGUGCUAGGUGUUAGGGGGUUUCCGCCCCUUAGUGCUGAAGUUAACGCAUUAAGCACUCCGCCUGGGGAGUACGGCCGCAAGGCUGAAACUCAAAAGAAUUGACGGGGGCCCGCACAAGCGGUGGAGCAUGUGGUUUAAUUCGAAGCAACGCGAAGAACCUUACCAGGUCUUGACAUCCUCUGCUAUUCCUAGAGAUAGGAAGUUCCCUUCGGGGACAGAGUGACAGGUGGUGCAUGGUUGUCGUCAGCUCGUGUCGUGAGAUGUUGGGUUAAGUCCCGCAACGAGCGCAACCCUUGAUCUUAGUUGCCAGCAUUUAGUUGGGCACUCUAAGGUGACUGCCGGUGACAAACCGGAGGAAGGUGGGGAUGACGUCAAAUCAUCAUGC